GGCCGGGCGUGGUGGCUCACGCUUGUAAUCCCAGCACUUUGGGAGGCCGAGGCGGGUGGAUCACGAGGUCAGGAGAUCGAGACCAUCCUGGCUAACACGGUGAAACCCCGUCUCUACUAAAAAUACAAAAAAAAAUUAGCCGGGCGUGAUGGCGGGCGCCUGUAGUCCCAGCUACUCGGGAGGCUGAGGCAAGAGAAUGGCGUGAACCCGGGAGGCGGAGCUUGCAGUGAGCCGAGAUUGCGCCACUGCACUCCCGCCUGGGCCACAGAGCGAGACUCCGUCUCAAAAAAAAAAAAAAAAAAAAA
This 305-nucleotide long non-coding RNA is filed under the name Homo sapiens (human). RNAcentral describes it as "LHRI_LNC635.1". The record is from RNAcentral. Lineage: Eukaryota; Metazoa; Chordata; Mammalia; Primates; Hominidae.